RNAcentral lists this small RNA (16 nucleotides) under Arabidopsis thaliana (thale cress). RNAcentral describes it as "ATSL234430". Lineage: Eukaryota; Viridiplantae; Streptophyta; Magnoliopsida; Brassicales; Brassicaceae. The record is from RNAcentral.
CUGAGCCGCUUCCUGG